UGGGUGUUAGCUAAGUUCGGUUUAAGGCAAUGCAUCUUUUAUUUUUGACGCAUUUUCAUAGGUUCAAAUCCUAUACACCCAG
Molecule: transfer RNA, 82 nt
Filed under: Lachnospiraceae bacterium
Lineage: Bacteria; Bacillati; Bacillota; Clostridia; Lachnospirales; Lachnospiraceae
Description: tRNA-OTHER
Rfam family: tRNA
About the family: Transfer RNA (tRNA) molecules are approximately 80 nucleotides in length. Their secondary structure includes four short double-helical elements and three loops (D, anti-codon, and T loops). Further hydrogen bonds mediate the characteristic L-shaped molecular structure. tRNAs have two regions of fundamental functional importance: the anti-codon, which is responsible for specific mRNA codon recognition, and the 3' end, to which the tRNAs corresponding amino acid is attached (by aminoacyl-tRNA synthetases). tRNAs cope with the degeneracy of the genetic code in two manners: having more than one tRNA (with a specific anti-codon) for a particular amino acid; and 'wobble' base-pairing, i.e. permitting non-standard base-pairing at the 3rd anti-codon position.
Source: RNAcentral